RNAcentral lists this ribosomal RNA (253 nucleotides) under uncultured bacterium. RNAcentral describes it as "partial 16S ribosomal RNA". It matches the Rfam family "Bacterial small subunit ribosomal RNA", at positions 524 to 776 of the family's 1533-position model. The record is from RNAcentral.
UACAGGGGGUGCAAACGUUGCUCGGAAUUAUUGGGCGUAAAGCGCGCGUAGGCGGCCACUUAAGUCGGAUGUGAAAGCCCCUGGCUCAACUGGGGAAGUGCACCCGAAACUGCAAGGCUCGAGUCCGGGAGAGGGGGGUGGAAUUCCCAGUGUAGCGGUGAAAUGCGUAGAUAUUGGGAGGAACACCGGUGGCGAAGGCGGCCCCCUGGACCGGUACUGACGCUGAGGCGCGAAAGCGUGGGUAGCAAACGGG